Small nuclear RNA from Hermetia illucens (black soldier fly), 185 nucleotides. RefSeq annotates it as U12 minor spliceosomal RNA. The record is from RefSeq and is a predicted model, not a curated record. Lineage: Eukaryota; Metazoa; Arthropoda; Insecta; Diptera; Stratiomyidae. The transcript has a single exon.
GUGCCUUAAACUAAUGAGUAAGGAAAAUUACGAGCCUUGGUAACGCUUGGCUUAGCUUAACUUCGCCGGUUGUACCAUCAGCGAUGGGAAGACCGUGUUGAGCACAAAUUUUUGGAGGGGCACAGGUCGUCCCAUCGAGCCUGGCUCACUACUUUCGAGCUGGUUCUGGUGAAGCGAUCUGCCCA